RNAcentral lists this ribosomal RNA (470 nucleotides) under uncultured Microgenomates group bacterium. Its description in RNAcentral is "bacterial SSU rRNA". It matches the Rfam family "Bacterial small subunit ribosomal RNA", at positions 434 to 918 of the family's 1533-position model. The record is from RNAcentral.
UUCUGAGGGAAGAAAUUUUGACGGUACCUCAGGAAUAAGUGACGGCUAACUCCGUGCCAGCAGCCGCGGUAAUACGGAGGUCACAAGCGUUAUCCGGAAUCACUGGGCGUAAAGCGAUCGAAGGUGGCGUACUAAGUCUGUUUUUAAAUACCUACGGCUCAACCGAGGUGCUGAAAUGGAAACUGGUACACUAGAGUCAUUGAGAGGAGGGUAGAAUUCUUGUUGUAGGGGUAAAAUCCGUAGAUAACAAGAGGAAUACCAAAAGCGAAGGCAGCCCUCUGGCAAUGCACUGACACUGCACGAUCGAAAGCGUGGGGAGCGAAAGGGAUUAGAUACCCCUGUAGUCCACGCCCUAAACGAUGAGUACUCGAUGUACGGCGGUAUAGCCCGCUGUGUGUCCAAGCUAACGCAUUAAGUACUCCGCCUGGGAAGUACGGUCGCAAGACUAAAACUCAAAUGAAUUGACGGGG